RNAcentral lists this ribosomal RNA (1441 nucleotides) under uncultured organism. RNAcentral's name for it is "16S ribosomal RNA". It matches the Rfam family "Bacterial small subunit ribosomal RNA". The record is from RNAcentral.
CAGGCUUAACACAUGCAAGUCGAGGGGCAUCAGGAAGAAAGCUUGCUUUCUUUGCUGGCGACCGGCGCACGGGUGAGUAACACGUAUCCAACCUGCCCUUUACUCGGGGAUAGCCUUUCGAAAGAAAGAUUAAUACCCGAUAGCAUAAUGAUUCCGCAUGGUUUCAUUAUUAAAGGAUUCCGGUAAAGGAUGGGGAUGCGUUCCAUUAGGUUGUUGGUGAGGUAACGGCCCACCAAGCCUUCGAUGGAUAGGGGUUCUGAGAGGAAGGUCCCCCACAUUGGAACUGAGACACGGUCCAAACUCCUACGGGAGGCAGCAGUGAGGAAUAUUGGUCAAUGGGCGCUAGCCUGAACCAGCCAAGUAGGGUGAAGGAUGAAGGCUCUAUGGGUCGUAAACUUCUUUUAUAUAAGAAUAAAGUGCAGUAUGUAUACUGUUUUGUAUGUAUUAUAUGAAUAAGGAUCGGCUAACUCCGUGCCAGCAGCCGCGGUAAUACGGAGGAUCCGAGCGUUAUCCGGAUUUAUUGGGUUUAAAGGGAGCGUAGGUGGACUGGUAAGUCAGUUGUGAAAGUUUGCGGCUCAACCGUAAAAUUGCAGUUGAUACUGUCAGUCUUGAGUACAGUAGAGGUGGGCGGAAUUCGUGGUGUAGCGGUGAAAUGCUUAGAUAUCACGAAGAACUCCGAUUGCGAAGGCAGCUCACUGGACUGCAACUGACACUGAUGCUCGAAAGUGUGGGUAUCAAACAGGAUUAGAUACCCUGGUAGUCCACACAGUAAACGAUGAAUACUCGCUGUUUGCGAUAUACAGUAAGCGGCCAAGCGAAAGCAUUAAGUAUUCCACCUGGGGAGUACGCCGGCAACGGUGAAACUCAAAGGAAUUGACGGGGGCCCGCACAAGCGGAGGAACAUGUGGUUUAAUUCGAUGAUACGCGAGGAACCUUACCCGGGCUUAAAUUGCAGUGGAAUGAUGUGGAAACAUGUCAGUGAGCAAUCACCGCUGUGAAGGUGCUGCAUGGUUGUCGUCAGCUCGUGCCGUGAGGUGUCGGCUUAAGUGCCAUAACGAGCGCAACCCUUAUCUUUAGUUACUAACAGGUUAUGCUGAGGACUCUGGAGAGACUGCCGUCGUAAGAUGUGAGGAAGGUGGGGAUGACGUCAAAUCAGCACGGCCCUUACGUCCGGGGCUACACACGUGUUACAAUGGGGGGUACAGAAGGCAGCUACCUGGUGACAGGAUGCUAAUCCCAAAAGCCUCUCUCAGUUCGGAUCGAAGUCUGCAACCCGACUUCGUGAAGCUGGAUUCGCUAGUAAUCGCGCAUCAGCCACGGCGCGGUGAAUACGUUCCCGGGCCUUGUACACACCGCCCGUCAAGCCAUGGGAGCCGGGGGUACCUGAAGUACGUAACCGCAAGGAUCGUCCUAGGGUAAAACUGGUGACUGGGGCUAAGUC